UACGUAGGUGGCAAGCGUUGUCCGGAUUUACUGGGCGUAAAGAGCGCGCAGGCGGUCGUUCAAGUCGCGUGUGAAAGCCCCCGGCUCAACUGGGGAGGGUCACGCGAUACUGAUCGACUCGAAGGCAGGAGAGGGUAGUGGAAUUCCCGGUGUAGUGGUGAAAUGCGUAGAUAUCGGGAGGAACACCUAUGGCGAAGGCAGCUCGCUGGGACGUUACUGACGCUGAGACGCGAAAGCGUGGGGAGCAAACAGG
RNAcentral lists this ribosomal RNA (253 nucleotides) under uncultured bacterium. RNAcentral describes it as "partial 16S ribosomal RNA". It matches the Rfam family "Bacterial small subunit ribosomal RNA", at positions 524 to 776 of the family's 1533-position model. The record is from RNAcentral.